RNAcentral lists this long non-coding RNA (353 nucleotides) under Salvia miltiorrhiza (redroot sage). Its description in RNAcentral is "long non-coding RNA (SMIL_LNC002292)". The record is from RNAcentral. Lineage: Eukaryota; Viridiplantae; Streptophyta; Magnoliopsida; Lamiales; Lamiaceae.
UUUUAUUUUAUAAAUAAAUAAUUAAAUAAUGAAAUUUUUAAAGAUGAUGUCACGACGGAAAUUAACCCAAUUUUUUAUUCUAUCGCUAGACGAACAAAUAUCCAUACCAAAAAUUAAAAUUAACACUUAAAUUGAAGAUCGAACCAAGAAGUUUAUUCAUGCUUAGUGCAGUGAUUGAAUCAGAUGUAACCGUUGUUAAUCAUCUUGUAAUAAUGUAUGCUGAUAAGCAGAAAUAUUUAGGAAUCAACUAGUGUUUGCAAACUUUAUUUGAUUUGACCUGUCCCUUAGCAGAUUUUUCCCCCCCAUAAUUUACAAAAAGAAAAAGAAAAAGAAAAAGAAAAAAAAAAAGACAC